GCCUCAUUGGUCUAACGGCGAUGACAAAUGGCUUCCACCCAUUAGAUGCCGGUUCGAUUCCGGCAUGAGGCUCCA
This 75-nucleotide transfer RNA is filed under the name Actinomadura sp. WMMB 499. Its description in RNAcentral is "tRNA-Gly". It matches the Rfam family "tRNA". Rfam says of the family: Transfer RNA (tRNA) molecules are approximately 80 nucleotides in length. Their secondary structure includes four short double-helical elements and three loops (D, anti-codon, and T loops). The record is from RNAcentral. Lineage: Bacteria; Bacillati; Actinomycetota; Actinomycetes; Streptosporangiales; Thermomonosporaceae. RNAcentral also lists the same sequence under 1 other name.